This 501-nucleotide ribosomal RNA is filed under the name uncultured bacterium. RNAcentral's name for it is "partial 16S ribosomal RNA". It matches the Rfam family "Bacterial small subunit ribosomal RNA", at positions 30 to 523 of the family's 1533-position model. The record is from RNAcentral.
AUUGAACGCUGGCGGCAGGCUUAACACAUGCAAGUCGAGCGGGGGAAGGUAGCUUGCUACCGGACCUAGCGGCGGACGGGUGAGUAAUGCUUAGGAAUCUGCCUAUUAGUGGGGGACAACAUCUCGAAAGGGAUGCUAAUACCGCAUACGUCCUACGGGAGAAAGCAGGGGAUCUUCGGACCUUGCGCUAAUAGAUGAGCCUAAGUCGGAUUAGCUAGUUGGUGGGGUAAAGGCCUACCAAGGCGACGAUCUGUAGCGGGUCUGAGAGGAUGGUCCGCCACACUGGGACUGAGACACGGCCCAGACUCCUACGGGAGGCAGCAGUGGGGAAUAUUGGACAAUGGGGGGAACCCUGAUCUAGCCAUGCCGCGUGUGUGAAGAAGGCCUUAUGGUUGUAAAGCACUUUAAGCGAGGAGGAGGCUACUCUAGUUAAUACCUAGGGAUAGUGGACGUUACUCGCAGAAUAAGCACCGGCUAACUCUGUGCCAGCCGCCGCCGUAA